CAGCAGACACAUUCCAGCCAAUCAGCAGCAGACCCUCCCUCUCAGACCCUCCCACCUCUUGGACAGCAUCCAUUUUACAUUCAUUGUGAAGCUGCAUUCUUAGUGAGCUGUCCAGGAGGUGGGAGGGUCUGGGAGGGAGGGUCUGCUGCUGAUUGGCUGGAAUGUGUCUGCU
This 172-nucleotide microRNA precursor is filed under the name Pelobates cultripes (western spadefoot toad). The record is from RNAcentral. Lineage: Eukaryota; Metazoa; Chordata; Amphibia; Anura; Pelobatidae.